Molecule: ribosomal RNA, 770 nt
Filed under: Salmonella enterica subsp. enterica
Lineage: Bacteria; Pseudomonadati; Pseudomonadota; Gammaproteobacteria; Enterobacterales; Enterobacteriaceae
Description: partial 23S ribosomal RNA
Rfam family: Bacterial large subunit ribosomal RNA
Source: RNAcentral
UUUACCUGUGUGACUGCGUACCUUUUGUAUAAUGGGUCAGCGACUUAUAUUCUGUAGCAAGGUUAACCGAAUAGGGGAGCCGGAGGGAAACCGAGUCUUAAUUGGGCGUUAAGUUGCAGGGUAUAGACCCGAAACCCGGUGAUCUAGCCAUGGGCAGGUUGAAGGUUGGGUAACACUAACUGGAGGACCGAACCGACUAAUGUUGAAAAAUUAGCGGAUGACCUGUGGCUGGGGGUGAAAGGCCAAUCAAACCGGGAGAUAGCUGGUUCUCCCCGAAAGCUAUUUAGGUAGCGCCUCGUGAAUUCAUCUCCGGGGGUAGAGCACUGUUUCGGCUAGGGGGCCAUCCCGGCUUACCAACCCGAUGCAAACUGCGAAUACCGGAGAAUGUUAUCACGGGAGACACACGGCGGGUGCUAACGUCCGUCGUGAAGAGGGAAACAACCCAGACCGCCAGCUAAGGUCCCAAAGUCAUGGUUAAGUGGGAAACGAUGUGGGAAGGCCCAGACAGCCAGGAUGUUGGCUUAGAAGCAGCCAUCAUUUAAAGAAAGCGUAAUAGCUCACUGGUCGAGUCGGCCUGCGCGGAAGAUGUAACGGGGCUAAACCAUGCACCGAAGCUGCGGCAGCGAACGUAUCACCCAAGACAACUUUACGGAGUUGACGAUUGACGGAGCGAAGCGACGUCAAAGCGUUCAUUAAAGUCGAGUUGGCUUAGGGAUACGUUCGUUGGGUAGGGGAGCGUUCUGUAAGCCUGUGAAGGUGUGUCGUGAGGC